Molecule: long non-coding RNA, 676 nt
Organism: Dinoponera quadriceps
Lineage: Eukaryota; Metazoa; Arthropoda; Insecta; Hymenoptera; Formicidae
Exons: 5
Source: RefSeq, a predicted model, not a curated record
CCUUUCCCUCUACCCUCCCUCCCCCCGGACUCUAGCUUCUGCGUCGGGUCUUCACGACAACAGCGGUGACGCUCGCCGCCUUCGCGGUUGGUGGUACGUGCGCCCGAUGAGAACUACUCCUCCCGCUGUCAGGUGAAUUCCUGCACCUGGCCAAGAGGAAGGGUCGUUGCCCGUAUCUUCGUCCAGGAGCCGCGUGUCUCAAGAGGGUACCAGUCGCCGUCGUCCUGUAUGUACUGUGACAUUCCUUAGACGGAAAAUUGCACGAUUUUCAACCUUAGCUGAAUCGACAUUUUAAAUUCUACAGGAAACUGAAAAAGGGGAUUGCUACUAAAAUGAGGAGCAGACCACAUAGUAGGAAUCCACCCCACCACAUGCCGACCCAUCUGUGAUCUCCGGGAUCUGAAAAAUUCGUGUUACAGAAAACGAGUCCAUAUGGAAGGAUAAAAGAUACGCUCCGAGAAGAAAGCCUAAGACUGGUCCAAAGGCCGCCAUACUAUACAUACAACCUGAAAAAGAGAAGGAAAUAUUUUUCACGGUAAAUGAAAAAGAUUCCCCGAUGCAUACUUGAAAAUGAAGAGAAGAAGAAGAAAAGAAAGCACUUAUCUACAUGUACGCAAUCUUACAGCAUUUUUACUCACCGAUAUAUAAAGAUGCACUUUCCGGUCUCACGUGAUCG